GAUGAACGCUAGCGGGAGGCCUAACACAUGCAAGCCGAGCGGUAUUUGUCCUUCGGGACAGAGAGAGCGGCGUACGGGUGCGGAACACGUGUGCAACCUGCCUUUAUCUGGGGGAUAGCCUUUCGAAAGGAAGAUUAAUACCCCAUAAUAUAUCGAAUGGCAUCAUUCGAUAUUGAAAACUCCGGUGGAUAGAGAUGGGCACGCGCAAGAUUAGAUAGUUGGUGAGGUAACGGCUCACCAAGUCAGUGAUCUUUAGGGGGCCUGAGAGGGUGAUCCCCCACACUGGUACUGAGACACGGACCAGACUCCUACGGGAGGCAGCAGUGAGGAAUAUUGGACAAUGGGUGAGAGCCUGAUCCAGCCAUCCCGCGUGAAGGACUAAGGCCCUAUGGGUUGUAAACUUCUUUUAUACUGGGAUAAACCUACUUACGUGUAAGUAGCUGAAGGUACAGUAUGAAUAAGCACCGGCUAACUCCG
This 477-nucleotide ribosomal RNA is filed under the name uncultured bacterium. RNAcentral describes it as "partial 16S ribosomal RNA". It matches the Rfam family "Bacterial small subunit ribosomal RNA", at positions 28 to 505 of the family's 1533-position model. The record is from RNAcentral.